GUGGGGAAUAUUGGGCAAUGGAGGCAACUCUGACCCAGCCAUGCCGCGUGCAGGAUGACGGCCCUCUGGGUUGUAAACUGCUUUUAUACGGGAAGAAAAAAUACUACGUGUAGUAUACUGACGGUACCGUAAGAAUAAGGAUCGGCUAACUCCGUGCCAGCAGCCGCGGUAAUACGGAGGAUCCAAGCGUUGUUCGGAUUUAUUGGGUUUAAAGGGUUCGUAGGCGGAUCUUUAAGUCAGUGGUGAAAGCCUGCAGCUUAACUGUAGAAUUGCCAUUGAAACUGAAGAUCUUGAAUGUGGUUAAAGUAGGCUGAAUGUAUCAUGUAGCGGUGAAAUGCUUAGAUAUGAUACAGAACACCGAUAGCGAAGGCAGCUUGCUGAACCAUUAUUGACGCUGAGGCACGAAAGCGUGGGGAGCGAACAGGAUUAGAUACCCGGGUAGUCC
This 445-nucleotide ribosomal RNA is filed under the name uncultured bacterium. RNAcentral describes it as "partial 16S ribosomal RNA". It matches the Rfam family "Bacterial small subunit ribosomal RNA", at positions 354 to 796 of the family's 1533-position model. The record is from RNAcentral.